RNAcentral lists this ribosomal RNA (497 nucleotides) under uncultured bacterium. Its description in RNAcentral is "partial 16S ribosomal RNA". It matches the Rfam family "Bacterial small subunit ribosomal RNA", at positions 28 to 507 of the family's 1533-position model. The record is from RNAcentral.
GAUGAACGCUGGCGGCGUGCCUAAUACAUGCAAGUCGAGCGAACGGACGAGAAGCUUGCUUCUCUGAUGUUAGCGGCGGACGGGUGAGUAACACGUGGAUAACCUACCUAUAAGACUGGGAUAACUUCGGGAAACCGGAGCUAAUACCGGAUGAUAUUUUGAACCGCAUGGUUCAAAAGUGAAAGACGGUCUUGCUGUCACUUAUAGAUGGAUCCGCGCUGCAUUAGCUAGUUGGUAAGGUAACGGCUUACCAAGGCAACGAUGCGUAGCCGACCUGAGAGGGUGAUCGGCCACACUGGAACUGAGACACGGUCCAGACUCCUACGGGAGGCAGCAGUAGGGAAUCUUCCGCAAUGGGCGAAAGCCUGACGGAGCAACGCCGCGUGAGUGAUGAAGGUCUUCGGAUCGUAAAACUCUGUUAUUAGGGAAGAACAUAUGUGUAAGUAACUGUGCACAUCUUGACGGUACCUAAUCAGAAAGCCACGGAUAACUACGUG